GUGCCAGCCGCCGCGGUAAGACAGAGGGUGCAAACGUUGUUCGGAAUUACUGGGCAUAAAGAGCACGUAGGUGGUGCGCUAAGUCACGUGUGAAAUCCCCCGGCUCAACCGGGGAAUGGCGCGUGAUACUGGCGGACUCGAGGCGGGUAGGGGUGAGCGGAACUCCAGGUGGAGCGGUGAAAUGCGUAGAUAUCUGGAGGAACACCGGUGGCGAAAGCGGCUCACUGGACCUGAUCUGACACUGAGGUGCGAAAGCUAGGGUAGCAAACGGGAUUAGAUACCCUAGUAGUCC
Molecule: ribosomal RNA, 292 nt
Filed under: uncultured bacterium
Lineage: Bacteria
Description: partial 16S ribosomal RNA
Rfam family: Bacterial small subunit ribosomal RNA
Source: RNAcentral